GAAUUCGAUUACCGCUCAGUAACACGUGGACAACCUACCCUUAGGUCGGGGAUAAACCCGGGAAACUGGGUAUAAUACCCGAUAGAUCUCGACUGCUGGAAUGCAUCGAGAUCGAAAGCUCCGGCGCCUAAGGAUGGGUCUGCGGCCUAUCAGGUAGUAGUGGGUGUAGCGUACCUACUAGCCUACGACGGGUACGGGUUGUGAGAGCAAGAGCCCGGAGAUGGAUUCUGAGACACGAAUCCAGGCCCUACGGGGUGCAGCAGGCGCGAAAACUUUACAAUGCUGGAAACAGCGAUAAGGGGACCUCGAGUGCCAGGUUACAAAUCUGGCUGUCGUGAUGCCUAAAAAGCAUUGCAUAGCAAGGGCCGGGCAAGACCGGUGCCAGCCGCCGCGGUAACACCGGCGGCUCGAGUGGUAACCGUUAUUAUUGGGUCUAAAGGGUCUGUAGCCGGCCGGAUAAGUCUCUUGGGAAAUCCAGCAGCUCAACUGUUGGGCUUUCAGGAGAUACUGUCUGGCUCGAGGCCGGGAGAGGUGAGAGGUACUUCAGGGGUAGGGGUGAAAUCUUGUAAUCCUUGAAGGACCACCAGUGGCGAAGGCGUCUCACCAGAACGGACCUGACGGCAAGGGACGAAAGCUAGGGGCACGAACCGGAUUAGAUACCCGGGUAGUCCUAGCCGUAAACGAUACUCGCUAGGUGUCGGCCACGGUGCGACCGUUGUCGGUGCCGUAGGGAAGCCGUGAAGCGAGCCACCUGGGAAGUACGGCCGCAAGGCUGAAACUUAAAGGAAUUGG
Molecule: ribosomal RNA, 792 nt
Filed under: uncultured archaeon
Lineage: Archaea
Description: bacterial SSU rRNA
Rfam family: Archaeal small subunit ribosomal RNA
Source: RNAcentral